Molecule: ribosomal RNA, 501 nt
Filed under: uncultured bacterium
Lineage: Bacteria
Description: partial 16S ribosomal RNA
Rfam family: Bacterial small subunit ribosomal RNA
Source: RNAcentral
AUUGAAAGCUGGCGGCAUGCCUUACACAUGCAAGUCGAACGGCAGCACGGGUGCUUGCACCUGGUGGCGAGUGGCGAACGGGUGAGUAAUACAUCGGAACGUACCUUAUCGUGGGGGAUAACGCAGCGAAAGCUGUGCUAAUACCGCAUACGCCCUGAGGGGGAAAGCGGGGGAUCGCAAGACCUCGCGCGAUUAGAGCGGCCGAUGCCUGAUUAGAUUGUUGGUGGGGUAAAAGCCCACCAAGGCGACGAUCAGUAGCUGGUCUGAGAGGACGCUCAGCCACACUGGGACUGAGAAACGGCCCAGACUCCUACGGGAGGAAGCAGGGGGGAAUUUUGGACAAUGGGGGCAACCCUGAUCCAGCAAUGCCGGGUGAGUGAAGAAGGCCUUCGGGUUGUAAAGCUCUUUUGUCAGGGAAGAAACACCGGCUCUAACACAGUCCGGGAAUGACGGUACCUGAAGAAUAAGCACCGGCUAACUACGUGCCAGCCGCCGCGGUAA